This 253-nucleotide ribosomal RNA is filed under the name uncultured bacterium. Its description in RNAcentral is "partial 16S ribosomal RNA". It matches the Rfam family "Bacterial small subunit ribosomal RNA", at positions 524 to 776 of the family's 1533-position model. The record is from RNAcentral.
UACGUAGGGGGCAAGCGUUGUCCGGAAUCAUUGGGCGUAAAGAGCGCGUAGGCGGCCCAGUAAGUCCGCUCUGAAAGUCAGGGGCUCAACCCCUGAAUGCGGGUGGAUACUGCUGGGCUAGAGUCCGGAAGAGGCGAGUGGAAUUCCUGGUGUAGCGGUGAAAUGCGCAGAUAUCAGGAGGAACACCAAUAGCGAAGGCAGCUCGCUGGGACGGUACUGACGCUGAGGCGCGAAAGCGUGGGGAGCGAACAGG